Molecule: long non-coding RNA, 668 nt
Organism: Carcharodon carcharias (great white shark)
Lineage: Eukaryota; Metazoa; Chordata; Chondrichthyes; Lamniformes; Lamnidae
Exons: 2
Source: RefSeq, a predicted model, not a curated record
CAGUAGAGUAUCAGCCUGGAUUAUGAACUCAAGUCUCUGGACUCAAGAGUGGGCCCACAACCUUUUGACUCAAGAGGAGUCUACAAUUGCACUGUGAGUAUUCGAGCCUGGAUUUUCAAAGUAGGCAAUCUGAACUUUGGAAGCCUCUGAAGCAGUACUUUAAGCUAAUAAUAGACAACAACCUAUUAAAAUGCUUUGAAUAGUGAAAGAGAACAGCAGCAAGAUGACAGGAUAACACAUUUUGACACCAGAAUUAUUUUUCAUCUCUGAAACAUGAAUCACUGAAUCACCAAGAGAUCAACUGUCAGCUUCUGCUACAUUAAGGAUGUAUGAAAAGCCAUUUAGCCCAAUCUAACUCUUGUUGAUUUUCUGAGUUUGGAUUCAUUGGAUAAUCUAAUGAUAAUGACUGAUGUCAGCCUUGGCUCAGUUGUAACAUUCCCACCCCUGAGUAAGAAGAUGGCGGGCUCAAGCUCCAAUUGAAAGACUCAAGCAAUGUAUAGCAUAAUGUAAGCUGACACUCACAGUGCAGUGCUGAGGGAGUGCUGCACUGUCAGAGGUGCCGUCUUUUGGGUGAGACAUAAGUCUGCCCUCUUGAGGCAAUGUAAAAGAUACCAUGGCAAAAUACUGUAGAUGCUGGAAAUCUCAAAUAAAAACAGGAGAUGCUGGAA